UACGUAGGGGGCAAGCGUUGUCCGGAUUUAUUGGGCGUAAAGAGCGUGUAGGCGGCUUCACAGGUCCGCUGUGAAAACUCGAGGCUCAACCUCGAGCUGUCGGUGGAAACCGUGUGGCUAGAGUCCGGAAGAGGAGAGUGGAAUUCCCGGUGUAGCGGUGAAAUGCGCAGAUAUCGGGAAGAACACCCGUGGCGAAGGCGGCUCUCUGGGCCUGUUCUGACGCUGAGGCGCGAAAGCUAGGGGAGCGAACGGGG
Molecule: ribosomal RNA, 254 nt
Filed under: uncultured bacterium
Lineage: Bacteria
Description: partial 16S ribosomal RNA
Rfam family: Bacterial small subunit ribosomal RNA
Source: RNAcentral